Non-coding RNA from Pholiota conissans, 125 nucleotides. The record is from the annotation of a GenBank genome assembly. Lineage: Eukaryota; Fungi; Basidiomycota; Agaricomycetes; Agaricales; Strophariaceae.
GGUGAGAUGGCCGAGCGGUCUAAGGCGCCAGACUAAGGACUAGGGUAUUAUUUGCCCAUCACUGACUAUUCAAACGAACGGUUAUCUGGUCCUCCGGGGCGUGGGUUCGAAUCCCACUCUCAUCA